This 253-nucleotide ribosomal RNA is filed under the name uncultured bacterium. Its description in RNAcentral is "partial 16S ribosomal RNA". It matches the Rfam family "Bacterial small subunit ribosomal RNA", at positions 524 to 776 of the family's 1533-position model. The record is from RNAcentral.
UACGUAGGGGGCAAGCGUUGUCCGGAAUCAUUGGGCGUAAAGCGCGUGUAGGCGGUUCGGUAAGUCUGCUGUGAAAGUCCAGGGCUCAACCCUGGGAUGCCGGUGGAUACUGUCGGACUAGAGUACGGAAGAGGCGAGUGGAAUUCCCGGUGUAGCGGUGAAAUGCGCAGAUAUCAGGAGGAACACCAACGGCGAAGGCAGCUCGCUGGGACGGUACUGACACUGAGGCGCGAAAGCGUGGGGAGCGAACAGG